CUGGCUCAGGACGAACGCUGGCGGCGUGCUUAACACAUGCAAGUCGAACGGAAAGGCCCCUUCGGGGGGUGCUCGAGUGGCGAACGGGUGAGUAACACGUGGGUGAUCUGCCUUGCACUUCGGGAUAAGCCUGGGAAACCGGGUCUAAUACCGGAUAGGACCGCGCCUCGCAUGGGGUGUGGUGGAAAGCGUUAUGCAGCGGUGUGAGAUGGGCCCGCGGCCUAUCAGCUUGUUGGUGGGGUAAUGGCCUACCAAGGCGGCGACGGGUAGCCGGCCUGAGAGGGCGACCGGCCACACUGGGACUGAGACACGGCCCAGACUCCUACGGGAGGCAGCAGUGGGGAAUAUUGGACAAUGGGGGCAACCCUGAUCCAGCGACGCCCGCGUGAGUGAAGAAGUAUUUCGGUAUGUAAAGCUCUAUCAGCAGGGAAGAAAGAGAACGUAAGUUCUCGUGACGGUACCUGACUAAGAAGCCCCGGCUAACUACGUGCCAGCAGCCGC
This 501-nucleotide ribosomal RNA is filed under the name uncultured bacterium. RNAcentral describes it as "bacterial SSU rRNA". It matches the Rfam family "Bacterial small subunit ribosomal RNA", at positions 19 to 518 of the family's 1533-position model. The record is from RNAcentral.